Molecule: ribosomal RNA, 330 nt
Filed under: uncultured eukaryote
Lineage: Eukaryota
Description: partial 18S ribosomal RNA
Rfam family: Eukaryotic small subunit ribosomal RNA
Source: RNAcentral
CCCUUAGAUGUUCGGGGCCGCAUGCGCGCUACACUGAAGGAAUCAGCACGUCUUUCUCCUUGUCCGAAAGGACUGGGUAACCCGCUGAACCUCCUUCGUGCUAGGGAUUGGGGCUUGUAAUUCUUCCCCAUGAACGAGGAAUUCCCAGUAAGCGCGAGUCAUAAGCUCGCGUUGAUUACGUCCCUGCCCUUUGUACACACCGCCCGUCGCUACUACCGAUUGGAUGGUUUAGUGAGAUCCUCGGAUUGGUCCCGGAGCGGCCUCUGGUCGUGCCGGAGUGCCGAAAAGAAUGUCGAACUUGAUCAUCUAGAGGAAGUAAAAGUCGUAACA